AAGCACGUAGGUGGGUUUGUAAGUCAGAUGUGAAAGCCUUCUGUUCAAAGGAAGAACGGCAUCUGAAACUGCAGAUCUUGAGUGUAGGAGGGGAGAGUGGAACUUCUGGUGGAGCGGUGAAAUGCGUAGAUAUCAGAAGGAACGUCGGCGGCGAAAGCGACUCUCUGGCCUAUUACUGACACUGAGUGUGCGAAAGUUAGGGGAGCAAACGGGAUUGGAUACCCCGGUAGUCCUAACUGUAAACGAUGGGCACUAAGUAGAGGGGUUUU
Molecule: ribosomal RNA, 269 nt
Filed under: uncultured Planctomycetales bacterium
Lineage: Bacteria; Pseudomonadati; Planctomycetota; Planctomycetia; Planctomycetales
Description: partial 16S ribosomal RNA
Rfam family: Bacterial small subunit ribosomal RNA
Source: RNAcentral